RNAcentral lists this ribosomal RNA (1524 nucleotides) under Triticum aestivum (bread wheat). Its description in RNAcentral is "partial small subunit ribosomal RNA". The record is from RNAcentral. Lineage: Eukaryota; Viridiplantae; Streptophyta; Magnoliopsida; Poales; Poaceae.
AUGGACGACGCGUCCCUCGAGCACACGCCCACCUGGGUCGUGGCCGCCGUCUGCCUCGUCAUCGUCUCCGUCUCCCUCGCCGCCGAGCGCUUCCUCCACUACCUCGGCAAGGCAUUAAAACAUAAGCAGCAGAAAACAUUGUAUUCAGCUCUACAGAGACUAAAAGAAGAGUUAAUGCUUCUUGGAUUUAUUUCCUUCAUCCUGAGUCUCUCACAGAGUUUUAUUGUUCACAUCUGCAUUCCCGAAACCGCUACACAUUUCAUGCUUCCAUGCAAGAGAGAGAAUCACAAAGUUGUUGAAGAAGGUGCCAUAGUUUGCAAGAAAAAGGGUGAUGUCCCCUUUCUAUCACUGGAGGCAUUGCAUCAGCUGCACAUAUUCAUAUUUGUACUUGGCUUGGUCCAUGUGGUUUUCUGCGCUACAACAAUAUUUCUUGGUGGAGCGCAGAUAAGAAGAUGGAAGCAUUGGGAGACUGGAAUUCACCGAGAUAUACAAAAGAAACUUGAAGUACUGCAAACAGAUAUUGUAGGAAAUGCUACACCAUUGCAUGUUUUGCUACGCCGUAAUCACCAGCGUGAAUUGGUCAGUGAGCGAACAGAGGGAUUUUGGAAGCAGCUGGCUGUUGUGAGCUGGAUUAUUGCGUUCUCGAAGCAAUUUCAUGAUUCUGUGGGUAAAUCAGAUUAUGAAGCGCUUAGAUCAGCAUUCGUCUUAAUACACUACCCAAGCCACCCAAACUUUGAUUUCCACAAGUACAUGACCCGUGCCCUUGAGCAUGACUUUAAGAGGGUUGUUGGUAUCAGCUGGUACCUGUGGCUUUUUGUCAUCCUUUUCCUUUUGCUGAAUAUAAAUGGAUGGCACACAUACUUCUGGUUAGCUUUCUUGCCUCUAUUUCUCCUGCUUGUUGUUGGCGCAAAGCUGCAGCACAUUAUUACCCGAUUAGCUCAAGAGGCAGCGGCAUCGUUAGCAGAUAAAACAAACCAAGUCCCGAAUAUAAAGCCAUCCAAGGAGCAUUUCUGGUUUGGGAAACCUUCAAUUGUCCUUCAUUUGAUCCAUUUCAUCCUAUUCCAGAACGCCUUCGAGAUUGGUUUUUUCUUCUGGGUCUUGGUAACAUAUGGGUUCGAUUCAUGCAUCAUGGAGAAGAAGGCUUACGCCAUCUCCAGACUUGUUAUUGGUCUGAUCAUCCAGGUGGUGUGCAGCUACAUCACCCUGCCAUUAUACGCCAUCGUCACCCACAUGAGCGGAGACAUCAAGCUGCAAGCGCUGGGCUCGGGCCUCCACGAGUCCGUGGCGAACUGGGCCACGGGUGCCCGGAAGAGGGGCCGCUCGGAGACGAGCCUCCGGAACUCGCUCACCUUGAAGAAGACCGGCGCCACGGAUCCCGUCGCCGGCCGCGGCGACAGCGUCGAGAUCCCGGUGGCGCGGGCGCCCAACGAGCACUUCGGCAGCUCACGCAACAUGCUGGGGCCGGCGGUAGUUCCCGACCUGGACGAGAUCGUGUCCGUCGUGGACAACGACAGCCGGAGGUGA